This 851-nucleotide ribosomal RNA is filed under the name uncultured bacterium. RNAcentral describes it as "bacterial SSU rRNA". It matches the Rfam family "Bacterial small subunit ribosomal RNA", at positions 55 to 919 of the family's 1533-position model. The record is from RNAcentral.
AUGCAAGUCGAACGAGAGAUGAGGAGCUUGCUCUUCAAAUCGAGUGGCGAACGGGUGAGUAACGCGUGAGGAACCUGCCUCAAAGAGGGGGACAACAGUUGGAAACGACUGCUAAUACCGCAUAAGCCCACGGCUCGGCAUCGAGCAGGGGGAAAAGGAGCAAUCCGCUUUGAGAUGGCCUCGCGUCCGAUUAGCUAGUUGGUGAGGUAAUGGCCCACCAAGGCGACGAUCGGUAGCCGGACUGAGAGGUUGAACGGCCACAUUGGGACUGAGACACGGCCCAGACUCCUACGGGAGGCAGCAGUGGGGAAUAUUGCACAAUGGGGGAAACCCUGAUGCAGCGACGCCGCGUGGAGGAAGAAGGUCUUCGGAUUGUAAACUCCUGUUGUUGAGGAAGAUAAUGACGGUACUCAACAAGGAAGUGACGGCUAACUACGUGCCAGCAGCCGCGGUAAAACGUAGGUCACAAGCGUUGUCCGGAAUUACUGGGUGUAAAGGGAGCGCAGGCGGGAGAACAAGUUGGAAGUGAAAUCCAUGGGCUCAACCCAUGAACUGCUUUCAAAACUGUUUUUCUUGAGUAGUGCAGAGGUAGGCGGAAUUCCCGGUGUAGCGGUGGAAUGCGUAGAUAUCGGGAGGAACACCAGUGGCGAAGGCGGCCUACUGGGCACCAACUGACGCUGAGGCUCGAAAGUGUGGGUAGCAAACAGGAUUAGAUACCCUGGUAGUCCACACCGUAAACGAUGAUUACUAGGUGUUGGAGGAUUGACCCCUUCAGUGCCGCAGUUAACACAAUAAGUAAUCCACCUGGGGAGUACGACCGCAAGGUUGAAACUCAAAGGAAUUGACGGGGG